RNAcentral lists this ribosomal RNA (492 nucleotides) under uncultured bacterium. RNAcentral describes it as "partial 16S ribosomal RNA". It matches the Rfam family "Bacterial small subunit ribosomal RNA", at positions 29 to 507 of the family's 1533-position model. The record is from RNAcentral.
AGUGAACGCUGGCGGUAGGCCUAACACAUGCAAGUCGAACGGCAGCACAGUAAGAGCUUGCCCUUACGGGUGGCGAGUGGCGGACGGGUGAGGAAUACAUCGGAAUCUACUUUUUCGUGGGGGAUAACGUAGGGAAACUUACGCUAAUACCGCAUACGACCUACGGGUGAAAGCAGGGGAUCUUCGGACCUUGCGCGAUUGAAUGAGCCGAUGUCGGAUUAGCUAGUUGGGGGGGUAAAGGCCAACCAAGGCGACGAUCCGUAGCUGGUCUGAGAGGAUGAUCAGCCACACUGGAACUGAGACACGGUCCAGACUCCUACGGGAGGCAGCAGUGGGGAAUAUUGGACAAUGGGCGCAAGCCUGAUCCAGCCAUACCGCGUGGGUGAAGAAGGCCUUCGGGUUGUAAAGCCCUUUUGUUGGGAAAGAAAAGCAGCAGGUUAAUACCCCGCUGUUCUGACGGUACCCAAAGAAUAAGCACCGGCUAACUUCGUG